RNAcentral lists this ribosomal RNA (348 nucleotides) under Kickxellaceae sp. Its description in RNAcentral is "LSU rRNA". The record is from RNAcentral. Lineage: Eukaryota; Fungi; Kickxellomycota; Kickxellomycetes; Kickxellales; Kickxellaceae.
AAACGCUUACGACCCGACAGUGCAGCGUGGGGGUGGUUGCUCACCAGGUUCUUUGGGACCUGGGGAUUCUCUAUGCCCUCACAGCUCAGGCCAACAUCAGUUUCUAUUUUGAAGGGUAUCAGAAAGGCGCUUGGGAAUGUAGGUCGGCCUUCGGGCUUACUGUUAUAGCCCUUGUGUUGGAUAGAUGGCUCUGGGGACUGAGGACUGCGGUGCGCUUCCGCAUUGGGCGGCCAUUUCUUGGGCAAAUUGGCGGCAAGUGUCAGUCUGACUGGGCUUGUUGACUAAAAUGUCCAGGGGUGGUGUCUUCUGCCGCGCACCAAGGAUGUUGGUGGUAACGGUCCUAAUCGA